AGAGUUUGAUCAUGGCUCAGAUUGAACGCUGGCGGCAGGCCUAACACAUGCAAGUCGAACGGUAACAGGAAGAAGCUUGCUUCUUUGCUGACGAGUGGCGGACGGGUGAGUAAUGUCUGGGAAACUGCCUGAUGGAGGGGGAUAACUACUGGAAACGGUAGCUAAUACCGCAUAACGUCGCAAGACCAAAGAGGGGGACCUUCGGGCCUCUUACCAUCGGAUGUGCCCAGAUGGGAUUAGCUAGUAGGUGAGGUAACGGCUCACCUAGGCGACGAUCCCUAGCUGGUCUGAGAGGAUGACCAGCCACACUGGAACUGAGACACGGUCCAGACUCCUACGGGAGGCAGCAGUGGGGAAUAUUGCACAAUGGGCGCAAGCCUGAUGCAGCCAUGCCGCGUGUAUGAAGAAGGCCUUCGGGUUGUAAAGUACUUUCAGCGGGGAGGAAGGGAGUAAAGUUAAUACCUUUGCUCAUUGACGUUACCCGCAGAAGAAGCACCGGCUAACUCCGUGCCAGCAGCCGCGGUAAUACGGAGGGUGCAAGCGUUAAUCGGAAUUACUGGGCGUAAAGCGCACGCAGGCGGUUUGUUAAGUCAGAUGUGAAAUCCCCGGGCUCAACCUGGGAACUGCAUCUGAUACUGGCAAGCUUGAGUCUCGUAGAGGGGGUAGAAUUCCAGGUGUAGCGGUGAAAUGCGUAGAGAUCUGGAGGAAUACCGGUGGCGAAGGCGGCCCCCUGGACGAAGACUGACGCUCAGGUGCGAAAGCGUGGGGAGCAAACAGGAUUAGAUACCCUGGUAGUCCACGCCGUAAACGAUGUCGACUUGGAGGUUGUGCCCUUGAGGCGUGGCUUCCGGAGCUAACGCGUUAAGUCGACCGCCUGGGGAGUACGGCCGCAAGGUUAAAACUCAAAUGAAUUGACGGGGGCCCGCACAAGCGGUGGAGCAUGUGGUUUAAUUCGAUGCAACGCGAAGAACCUUACCUGGUCUUGACAUCCACGGAAGUUUUCAGAGAUGAGAAUGUGCCUUCGGGAACCGUGAGACAGGUGCUGCAUGGCUGUCGUCAGCUCGUGUUGUGAAAUGUUGGGUUAAGUCCCGCAACGAGCGCAACCCUUAUCCUUUGUUGCCAGCGGUCCGGCCGGGAACUCAAAGGAGACUGCCAGUGAUAAACUGGAGGAAGGUGGGGAUGACGUCAAGUCAUCAUGGCCCUUACGACCAGGGCUACACACGUGCUACAAUGGCGCAUACAAAGAGAAGCGACCUCGCGAGAGCAAGCGGACCUCAUAAAGUGCGUCGUAGUCCGGAUUGGAGUCUGCAACUCGACUCCAUGAAGUCGGAAUCGCUAGUAAUCGUGGAUCAGAAUGCCACGGUGAAUACGUUCCCGGGCCUUGUACACACCGCCCGUCACACCAUGGGAGUGGGUUGCAAAAGAAGUAGGUAGCUUAACCUUCGGGAGGGCGCUUACCACUUUGUGAUUCAUGACUGGGGUGAAGUCGUAACAAGGUAACCGUAGGGGAACCUGCGGUUGGAUCACCU
RNAcentral lists this ribosomal RNA (1529 nucleotides) under Shigella boydii 5216-82. Its description in RNAcentral is "bacterial SSU rRNA". It matches the Rfam family "Bacterial small subunit ribosomal RNA". The record is from RNAcentral. Lineage: Bacteria; Pseudomonadati; Pseudomonadota; Gammaproteobacteria; Enterobacterales; Enterobacteriaceae.